UCCGUAGGCGGGCGUCUAAGUCAGUGGUGAAAUCUUACAGCUCAACUGUAAAAUUGCCAUUGAUACUGGAUGUCUUGAAUUAGUGUGAAGUGGUUAGAAUGUGUAGUGUAGCGGUGAAAUGCAUAGAUAUUACACAGAAUACCAAUUGCGAAGGCAGAUCACUAACAUUAUAUUGACGCUGAUGGACGAAAGCGUGGGGAGCGAACAGGAUUAGAUACCCUGGUAGUCC
RNAcentral lists this ribosomal RNA (229 nucleotides) under uncultured bacterium. RNAcentral's name for it is "partial 16S ribosomal RNA". It matches the Rfam family "Bacterial small subunit ribosomal RNA", at positions 568 to 796 of the family's 1533-position model. The record is from RNAcentral.